This 1317-nucleotide ribosomal RNA is filed under the name Paenarthrobacter sp. Its description in RNAcentral is "bacterial SSU rRNA". It matches the Rfam family "Bacterial small subunit ribosomal RNA", at positions 92 to 1420 of the family's 1533-position model. Lineage: Bacteria; Bacillati; Actinomycetota; Actinomycetes; Micrococcales; Micrococcaceae. The record is from RNAcentral.
UUAGUGGCGAACGGGUGAGUAACACGUGAGUAACCUGCCCUUGACUCUGGGAUAAGCCUGGGAAACUGGGUCUAAUACCGGAUACGACCAUCUGACGCAUGUCAUGGUGGUGGAAAGCUUUUGUGGUUUUGGAUGGACUCGCGGCCUAUCAGCUUGUUGGUGGGGUAAUGGCCUACCAAGGCGACGACGGGUAGCCGGCCUGAGAGGGUGACCGGCCACACUGGGACUGAGACACGGCCCAGACUCCUACGGGAGGCAGCAGUGGGGAAUAUUGCACAAUGGGCGCAAGCCUGAUGCAGCGACGCCGCGUGAGGGAUGACGGCCUUCGGGUUGUAAACCUCUUUCAGUAGGGAAGAAGCGAAAGUGACGGUACCUGCAGAAGAAGCGCCGGCUAACUACGUGCCAGCAGCCGCGGUAAUACGUAGGGCGCAAGCGUUAUCCGGAAUUAUUGGGCGUAAAGAGCUCGUAGGCGGUUUGUCGCGUCUGCUGUGAAAGACCGGGGCUCAACUCCGGUUCUGCAGUGGGUACGGGCAGACUAGAGUGCAGUAGGGGAGACUGGAAUUCCUGGUGUAGCGGUGAAAUGCGCAGAUAUCAGGAGGAACACCGAUGGCGAAGGCAGGUCUCUGGGCUGUAACUGACGCUGAGGAGCGAAAGCAUGGGGAGCGAACAGGAUUAGAUACCCUGGUAGUCCAUGCCGUAAACGUUGGGCACUAGGUGUGGGGGACAUUCCACGUUUUCCGCGCCGUAGCUAACGCAUUAAGUGCCCCGCCUGGGGAGUACGGCCGCAAGGCUAAAACUCAAAGGAAUUGACGGGGGCCCGCACAAGCGGCGGAGCAUGCGGAUUAAUUCGAUGCAACGCGAAGAACCUUACCAAGGCUUGACAUGAACCGGAAAGACCUGGAAACAGGUGCCCCGCUUGCGGUCGGUUUACAGGUGGUGCAUGGUUGUCGUCAGCUCGUGUCGUGAGAUGUUGGGUUAAGUCCCGCAACGAGCGCAACCCUCGUUCUAUGUUGCCAGCGCGUUAUGGCGGGGACUCAUAGGAGACUGCCGGGGUCAACUCGGAGGAAGGUGGGGACGACGUCAAAUCAUCAUGCCCCUUAUGUCUUGGGCUUCACGCAUGCUACAAUGGCCGGUACAAAGGGUUGCGAUACUGUGAGGUGGAGCUAAUCCCAAAAAGCCGGUCUCAGUUCGGAUUGGGGUCUGCAACUCGACCCCAUGAAGUCGGAGUCGCUAGUAAUCGCAGAUCAGCAACGCUGCGGUGAAUACGUUCCCGGGCCUUGUACACACCGCCCGUCAAGUCACGAAAGUUGGUAACAC